AGAAACCACCUGUCAUUUUUUAGGAACCACGGUUGUGGAAUUGUAAGAAGAGUUGUGCUAAUACGAUGUUUGUAUGUUCAUUUCAGGUGUGUGAAGUAUACAAAUUACAUAGAGAGACGUUCUAUUUAACAGUAGAUUACUUAGAUAGAUAUCUGUCUGCAAGAGAAGGAGUCCCAAAACAACAGUACAAUUAAUAGGCAUAACUUGUCUUCUCAUUGCAUCAAAGAUGGAAGAAAUUUAUCCCCCUAAAGUUUCCGAGUAUGCCUAUGUUACCGAUGGUGCCUGUACAGAGUCUGAAAUCCAUGCCAUGGAGUUGUCUAUUCUCAAAGUGUUGCAUUGGUGCCUUUCUCCAUUCACAAUUCACAACUGGUUGUCUGUGUAUUUACAGUUAUGUUAUCAGGGCAAUGAGCGGCACAACCUUGGCUUUGUCUAUUCGCAGUUCUCGCCUGCCCUCUUUUCCCAGCUGUGCAGCUAGUUGAUCUAGCCACUCUAGAUAUAAACUCCCUUAAAUUUUCUUAUAGUGUCAUUGCAAUUUCGGCUGUUUAUCUGUUUUGCAGUGAACAGCUGGCUCUUCACGUAUCAGGUUUUAACUAUUCUUUUAUAUCGGAUUGUGUGGACUGGAUGAGGGAUUUCUGGAAUGUCUUAUUGGAAGAGAAUCCUGGAGGUCGGAUGGAUGCUACCUCUACAGCACUUCCGCCAGGCCCCAAUAAAGUCAGUGCUUUUGAUCUUACGCACACCUUACAAACUCACUCCGUCACCCUAGAAAUGCUGGAAUCUGGUCAAGCAAGACAAGAAGCAAGAAUCAGAGAGAAACUCAGCAAAGCUAGCCCGUUGGUGGUAACAGCAAAUUUGAAUUUGUUAACCCCUCCUUCUAGUUCCAAGAAAGCUUGAACAUGAUCCUGCUUAUGGCUGGGCCUCUGCGUUCCUGUUCUCGGUUUCCCCUACCAGGUAUUAGUGGUACUUUUUUUCCCUCUUCAUGUCGAAUUCUUCUCUUGAUUGGCAACCCUUAUGUGCGGAUUGAUUCUGCCUAUGAUACCUUGUGUACAAAGUUACGUUGUUUCGAAUUUUAUUCUGCGGUACCAGGGGAACUUGUUUCAGAUAUAUCAUUCUGUUAAUUUCAGAUAACUAGUUUUUAAGGAGGUGUGCAACCCUUAUUCUUUGUCCUCUGUACCUUUUAAAUACGUUUUCAUUUUACAUUUAAGGCAUCGCGUGGGGAAAGGGCCCCUUUUUGUGUUACAUAAUUAUGAAACAGUGCCUUUUUGACACCAUUCACCUAAAUUUCAGAAAAAAGCAAAUUUUAGUUGAAGCUAUUACUACAGAGCGUGCCAUCCUCAUAAAGAGGUUUUUUAAUAAGUAACUGUCUUUCUAUUUUAAACCUUUGACAAUAGUUUUAUUCUUAAGAUGUGGCUGUUCAAAUAAUCUUGUUAGAUGAUAAUUAAAUAUAUGAGUUACAGCAUUGUCUGCUGGUAUAAAAAUGGCCUUAUUGUAAAGAGGCAAAACAUUAGGGACCUGAUAAACAUGAGGGAAAUAAUUUUCUCAGCAUGAUGCAUGAAUGCCACAACUAUUGUAAACUUGCUCCACUUUGCCCUUUGUAUCCUAGGAAAUUAAGCUUACAAACUCGUUAGAUUGAAGAACAUGCUGCACACCUCCAAAUUCGCAAUUUUAUUUCUUCUAGGUAUUAGUCAAUUGUUGUAAAUACUGUAAAGCGUUAUUUCAAAAUAUUACCGUUGAUAUUUCCCAGAAAGUGUUAAAUUUCAUCGUUCAAGUUGAUUUGAAAAAAAAUUUAGUAUGAAAUUUUUUAUCUAUUCGUUCUUUUACUGUUAAGACUUACUCCUGAGAGUAUUCUCAGACUUGUCGUUUUUUAGUCUCUCAGCGUUUCUUCAAGGUAGAGAUUGUUAGGAAUAUUUUUCUUCUGAAUUCUUUUAACCUGUAUUUGGGUUUUCCUGAAUUGAUGGUUCAUUGUGGAACGGUAGUGUACUGUUCUUGAUUUUAGGAAGUUUCCACAUGUACAGAAUAAAGUAAUUUACCUGAUGGAGAACCUGCAGCGGAAGGCAAUCUUGUCCUCGGUUCUGUCACUCCAUCAGAUUUUAGAUUUUUUCCCCUUUUCUUCACACUAACUGUUUUUCUCUUUUUAAAGUCUUUUGCUUUAUUUGGAAAUGGCACAAGAGAUUCCCCCCCCCCCCCCUCAACUUAAAAGAAUAUUUUGACAUGACUCCAGUCAAUGAGUCUGUUCAAUAAUUUUUGAUUGUUGCAUUUUUGGAGAGUAGAAAAUGUAUUUCUUGCGCAGGAAUUUUCCUGGAUUUCUUUAGUUAAUACUAACCCACGAAAACAAGUUCAAAGUUGUGUAUUUUGAGCUUCCAUCUAACUGUGCAUUGCCAAGACGACUUCUGUCAAUAUCCAUCUUGCCGCAGCCACGAUCCCAAUUACACAUUGUCUCUGUGAAGAUCCAUGGUGUGAGUAGUUUUUAUGAAUGCAUGGCUAAGCAGACUUUUAUUUGCUGCAGAGGCAACACUUGAUCGAGAUCGUGGCCAAGAGGUAUAUUUUCAGAUACAUCUUGGCCUCUCGGCGAUUCUUAUUAUCAAAUGAAGAUAAUUUGAUGAAUUUCUGUAAUUUUGGUCAGGAAAUUACUCCUCAAACUCUGUAGACUUUUAGGAUGUCCCUAAAGGAAAAGCUCAAUUGCCUAAGUCAUCUGUACGAACAACAAAGCUUUUACUGUACAGGUAAAUUUGUUAAUUUACUCAAACUUUGAAGAUGUAUCUUAAUUAAUACCUCAUUUAUCUCAAACAACAGAACGUCUCAAUCAACAGAAAAAAUUAGCAAUUUGUUCUCUGCAACUGAAUUCCUCCAAGAUCAAGUACAUGGAGCUAUCUACCAACUUAUUUGUAUCAUUUGUGUUCUGUCCCACUUUCCUGUGAGAUUCCUCUACAUAUCAAUCAGAUUUAUUCCAAGCAUUAAGUAGUUACAUUCCUUUCUGUCAAUAAAAAAAAUUUCUCUACCUUUUUUUUUUUUAUUUAUUGGAAAUGGUGAUAUUGAUAAGUCUAUAAACUUAAAAUUAUAAUUUUUUCGUAAUAUUAUAUCUAAAGACUGCAUCAAAAUGUAAAUAUUUGCUCAUUUUAAGCACAAAGUGUCUGUUAUGCAACUAGAAUUUUAUUUUUACACUGGUCUGCAGGUGGCCAAUGAAUUGAGAAAUGUAUGUCUGAACUCCCUGUAUCUGAAGUCAUAUUAGGUAAUAAUAGGUUUUGCAAGUUCUAGCAUUCUCUCGGUCCUUUUUUAGACUCUUCAGUUGAAUUUGAUGAUUGUGAGAGGCUUUUGGUUAAGUUUUUGACUUACUGCUCACUUUCAUUACAACUAAACAAAAUUUCCUCCGCGUUCCAAGCAAAUACAACUUUGAUCUCCAAUGUUAGUAACUGUGAGCACAGCAUCCAAAAUUUUUGACCCACCUCCUGAGGUGCAAACUUCUACUGGUAUCAAGCCCUCAUCAGGUCAAAAAGUGAACUGAAUCCUCUUGCAGAAAUUCGACUGUUUUUCAUAAAGUUAACUUUACUAUAUAGGUAAAUAUUUGUAUAAACAGGAUCAUUUUCAAAAUGGCUUUGUAAAUUAACUAAUUGUUGCGAUAAACCUCACACUUUUGCCCUUGUGUCUUUACCUACCAUUUUCUCUCCUCUCUUGUUUAUAUCCUACCAGAAGGAAGAUUGAUAGCUAGACUAAAGAGAUUUUAUUUUGAAAAUUUUCAACUGAAGUGGGGGAUGAAGUUGUAAAAUGAAUUUUGCUCAAUUAUGAAAGUAUCCAAGAUCGUUGUUUUUCAAGACAGAUGUCAAGUUAGGCAUGGGUAUUUUUGAUGUUUUUUCCUAGUAUGACUGAUUGACUAUUUUAAUGCUAUUUGGAUCUUCCAUCUUUAAAUUGUGAAUUUCUUCUUUAUGGAGCUAAAUUUACAUGAUUUUGUUUAUGAACUGAUUUGAGACUGAUAAAACAUAUCCCUCUGCUUUGUUGCUAGAUGGUUUCCAAUUCACACUGUAUCAAAUUCUCUAAUAUAUAUUAAAAUUUAAGAUAAUAUUUCCACCAACCUUUUUUGAUCUCACUCUCAGUUCGGUUUGCUAUUUGGUUCAGAUGAUCUCAGCCUUACAUUGUCUUUCUCUUCAAUGAAAAGCAUUCAGUGCCCUGAAAUCCCAUACUUGCUUUUUUUUUUUUUUUUUUUUUUUUUUUAGUAUAUUUGUAAAAUGGUAAUAAAUUUAAAUAAAUCAGAACUUCAAGAAACCUAGCAAGUUUGUUUCUGUGAAACCAGGCAGUCUUGAAGUAUAAAUUAGUCUGAAAAUUUAGAGACACAAAUUUUUGUCUUCCUUCAUGAAUACAUAGUUAUAUCACUUUAGUAAAUUCCCCCUUUCAGGAUAAUAUUUCAAUUUAAAAAUUUUGAAAUGAAUCCCCUCUAAGAAAUGUUAGUCGCAUAUAUUUUAGUAGAUAAUUAUUUUACUAGAGACUAGGGUGAUCACUAUCGAGGUGCCACCAUGGUUGAUUUUGGGUUUUUCUUUCUUUUCUUUUUUUCAUUUUGGACCUUGUUCUAAAAAAUUCAAAAGUCUGAUGAUAUUUAUGUCAGUGUGUUUCAAAGGCCUUAUAUUAGAUACUUAUUAAUCAUUAGUACUCCCUAUUUUAUGUUUCUACAUCUGCAAUCCCCAUAAAUAGUAGGAAAUGAGAUGAGUUCAAAAUAUCAUUCAUUUUUGCCCCUAGAAACGUACCAGUUGUCUUCCAAAUGGAGAAUUUGCAAGGGUCUGAAAUUUGAUGAAUUUCGUGUUGAAGUGGAAUCUACUGAGUAAACUGAGCAU
This 4817-nucleotide long non-coding RNA is filed under the name Bemisia tabaci. RNAcentral describes it as "lncRNA ENSSSA2NGG008309". Lineage: Eukaryota; Metazoa; Arthropoda; Insecta; Hemiptera; Aleyrodidae. The record is from RNAcentral.